GCGUACUGAAGACUGAGCGGUCGGUCACUAGCCUUCCAAGCUAGCGCCCUUAAUCGGGAUAGGGUUCGACUCCCUCUGUACGCUCCA
This 87-nucleotide transfer RNA is filed under the name Vibrio phage Ceto. RNAcentral's name for it is "tRNA-Gly". Lineage: Duplodnaviria; Heunggongvirae; Uroviricota; Caudoviricetes; Demerecviridae. The record is from RNAcentral.